RNAcentral lists this ribosomal RNA (449 nucleotides) under uncultured bacterium. RNAcentral's name for it is "bacterial SSU rRNA". It matches the Rfam family "Bacterial small subunit ribosomal RNA", at positions 329 to 795 of the family's 1533-position model. The record is from RNAcentral.
CUCCAGACUCCUACGGGAGGCAGCAGUGGGGAAUAUUGCACAAUGGGGGAAACCCUGAUGCAGCGACGCCGCGUGAGCGAUGAAGUAUUUCGGUAUGUAAAGCUCUAUCAGCAGGGAAGAAGAUGACGGUACCUGACUAAGAAGCCCCGGCUAACUACGUGCCAGCAGCCGCGGUAAUACGUAGGGGGCAAGCGUUAUCCGGAUUUACUGGGUGUAAAGGGAGCGUAGACGGCGAUGCAAGCCAGAUGUGAAAGCCCGGGGCUCAACCCCGGGACUGCAUUUGGAACUGUGUGGCUGGAGUGUCGGAGAGGCAGGCGGAAUUCCUAGUGUAGCGGUGAAAUGCGUAGAUAUUAGGAGGAACACCAGUGGCGAAGGCGGCCUGCUGGACGAUGACUGACGUUGAGGCUCGAAAGCGUGGGGAGCAAACAGGAUUAGAUACCCCAGUAGCC